RNAcentral lists this long non-coding RNA (410 nucleotides) under Bos indicus x Bos taurus (hybrid cattle). RNAcentral's name for it is "lncRNA (ENSBIXG00005000303.1)". Lineage: Eukaryota; Metazoa; Chordata; Mammalia; Artiodactyla; Bovidae. The record is from RNAcentral.
CUACAACCAAAGGAGCUGAUCUCGCGAGACUUAAAAGCGACGGUUAAAGGACCGGGUGGCCGGUGGGAUGAGGAUGUCUUCAUCCGAAAAAUCUUGUUUCCUGUAUGACAUGCCCUCCAUUUAGUGCGUCAAGGAUGCAUGGGUCUCCAGUGGGCAAACUAAACAACUCCCUCCAAAGUAUUGAUGCAGCAUCAGUCCAAGAGAGCCUGGAUUACAUCAUUCCGUGGGCUGUGGGCACUAUGCCUGUGCUCCUGUCAGAAGCUGCUGUGGUCCUGAAACGCUGCACAAGGAGAAUUUGUGCCUUUUAAAUCUUGGGUUCUGGGGAUUAUGCCAGGGCUGGUUACACAGCAGGAAAAAGCCAGACCCAUGAUGUCAUUCAACAUAUCUUCUCCCAGAGACUAGAUACACUU